This 239-nucleotide ribosomal RNA is filed under the name uncultured bacterium. RNAcentral describes it as "partial 16S ribosomal RNA". It matches the Rfam family "Bacterial small subunit ribosomal RNA", at positions 100 to 334 of the family's 1533-position model. The record is from RNAcentral.
CCGGCACGGGUGAGUAACACGUAUCCAACCUGCCGUCUACUCUUGGCCAGCCUUCUGAAAGGAAGAUUAAUCCAGGAUGGCAUCAUGAGUUCACAUGUCCGCAUGAUUAAAGGUAUUUUCCGGUAGACGAUGGGGAUGCGUUCCAUUAGAUAGUAGGCGGGGUAACGGCCCACCUGGUCAACGAUGGAUAGGGGUUCUGAGAGGAAGGUCCCCCACAUUGGAACUGAGACACGGUCCAA